CAAUACUUCAAAUAGGGUGGUGCAGUAUUCUAGUCGGUCUUCCGAUUCCGAAGGUGGGCCUAAAAAUCCACUAAAGGGCAUAUCGAUGAAGUUCCUGGUCUUGGCUUGAGGCGCCCAGCCUUGGGCUUUUUCUGGGAGUAAAGGUUUUCGGGCGAUCCACAAUGGCAUGUGGGCGAUGACCCGAUUACCGCGGAGGCUUUCGUUUUUUUAGCAUAAGCGUAUGCAAUAAAAACGAUUGUAUGAACCUGCGGGAGUGAUGACAAUCAACCGCAGCGUAGCCUGCCAUGAGUGGAGAAUGAGGGGAUUGCGGUUACAGGGAACAUAUUAGUUGGCCAUUAAUAUGUUCUUUUCCGUCCGCAUGAAAUCAUUUCUGCAAAAGAGGAUAAGGAAUCUAGUGUAAGGCUGCCGAGGAAAUCUCCUAGACUGUCUUUAAAGCGUGAUUGAAGGCUUGCAGUGCGGACUAAGUGGCAAUCCAGUCCGGCAUAUGGCGACAUAGCUGAAGCCAAUUUAAAGGGAAACCGCCAGUAUGGCAACAGCUGGUAUUGGUUUGGGAAAACCUACUGGACCUAAGCCGUAAUUUUAACUUCAAUCAUGACCCCCAUUUUUAUUUACGAU
RNAcentral lists this small RNA (615 nucleotides) under Jeotgalibacillus campisalis. Lineage: Bacteria; Bacillati; Bacillota; Bacilli; Caryophanales; Caryophanaceae. The record is from RNAcentral.